GGCAGUGUGGUGCAGUGGUUUGAGCAAUGGAUUACAGCUCUGGAGACCAGAGUUCAAAUCCAAGCUUGGCCA
Phrynosoma platyrhinos (Desert horned lizard) is the source of this 72-nucleotide non-coding RNA. The record is from the annotation of a GenBank genome assembly. Lineage: Eukaryota; Metazoa; Chordata; Lepidosauria; Squamata; Phrynosomatidae.